GCCCCUGUAGCUCAGUUGGACAGAGCAGCUGCCUUCUAAGCAGCGGGUCGCAGGUUCGAGUCCUGCCGGGGGCGCCA
RNAcentral lists this transfer RNA (77 nucleotides) under Actinomycetota bacterium. Its description in RNAcentral is "tRNA-Arg". It matches the Rfam family "tRNA". From Rfam's summary of the family: Transfer RNA (tRNA) molecules are approximately 80 nucleotides in length. Their secondary structure includes four short double-helical elements and three loops (D, anti-codon, and T loops). The record is from RNAcentral. Lineage: Bacteria; Bacillati; Actinomycetota.